GUAUAAUGUGGCUCAGAGAGAAGGGACUUCAGUGUUCAUAUGAUCCUAGUGUCUGACAGAGACUGUGGUUGAAAUGAUUUGGUCUGACUGAGUGAACACUUGUACAAUGAAUCUUCAUUCAGUUAUUCUGUUCUGUGCCUCAGCAGCUGCCGUCUUUGGAAAUGUCAUCAAGCCAAAUGAAACCAAUGUUAUUUAUGAGGAGGGUUCAAAUAUUAUAUUAAUCUGUAGUCAUUACCCUGGAGCUACUGAUUAUCUCCACUGGUACCGUCAGUAUGAAAGAUCAAAACCUGAAUUUCUUGUACUCAUCUACGGUAAUGCAGAGAAAGCUGUGGUGUCUGAUGUAGAUCCAAGAUUCACUGUUAAAAUUGAAAAAAGGGAGAAAAACCAUGCAGAUCUGAAGAUCUCCUCUGCUGCUGUAUCAGACUCUGCUCUGUACUACUGUGCUCUGGCGCCCACAGUGACAGGAAACACAUCAGCUCUCUACAAAAAAGAUAGAAAUGAGGACAGUUUUUGUAUAGAGCUGAUGUGUUUCCUGUCACUGUGGGUGCCAGAGCACAGUAGUACAGAGCAGAGUCUGAUACAGCAGCAGAGGAGAUCAUCAGAUUCACAUGGUUUUGUUGCCUUUUUUCAACAUUAG
This is a non-coding RNA of Labeo rohita (rohu), 637 nucleotides long. The record is from the annotation of a RefSeq genome assembly. Lineage: Eukaryota; Metazoa; Chordata; Actinopteri; Cypriniformes; Cyprinidae.